CAUUAGAUGACUGAAAGAAAGUAAUGGUCUCUUAAACCAAUUUAUAGUAAUUAUCGACUACUUCUAAUGA
RNAcentral lists this transfer RNA (70 nucleotides) under Aiolocaria hexaspilota. Its description in RNAcentral is "tRNA-Lys". The record is from RNAcentral. Lineage: Eukaryota; Metazoa; Arthropoda; Insecta; Coleoptera; Coccinellidae.